RNAcentral lists this ribosomal RNA (301 nucleotides) under uncultured bacterium. RNAcentral describes it as "partial 16S ribosomal RNA". It matches the Rfam family "Bacterial small subunit ribosomal RNA", at positions 509 to 807 of the family's 1533-position model. The record is from RNAcentral.
CAGCAGCCGCGGGAAUACGAAGGGGGCUAGCGUUGUUCGGAUUUACUGGGCGUAAAGCGCACGUAGGCGGAUUCUUAAGUCAGAGGUGAAAUCCCAAGGCUCAACCUUGGAACUGCCUUUGAUACUGGGGAUCUUGAGUUCGGGAGAGGUGAGUGGAACUGCGAGUGUAGAGGUGAAAUUCGUAGAUAUUCGCAAGAACACCAGUGGCGAAGGCGGCUCACUGGCCCGAUACUGACGCUGAGGUGCGAAAGCGUGGGGAGCAAACAGGAUUAGAUACCCCCGUAGUCCCUGUCUCUUAUAC